This 196-nucleotide ribosomal RNA is filed under the name uncultured bacterium. RNAcentral's name for it is "partial 16S ribosomal RNA". It matches the Rfam family "Bacterial small subunit ribosomal RNA", at positions 1305 to 1500 of the family's 1533-position model. The record is from RNAcentral.
CUGCAACUCGCCUACACGAAGUUGGAAUUGCUAGUAAUCGUGGAUCAGCAUGCCACGGUGAAUACGUUCCCGGGUCUUGUACACACCGCCCGUCACACCAUGGGAGCUGGUAACACCCGAAGUCAGUAGUCUAACCGCAAGGAGGACGCUGCCGAAGGUGGGAUUAGCGACUGGGGUGAAGUCGUAACAAGGUAAC